This 336-nucleotide unclassified non-coding RNA is filed under the name soil metagenome. RNAcentral's name for it is "partial contains 5.8S ribosomal RNA, internal transcribed spacer 2, and large subunit ribosomal RNA". The stretch from base 1 to 120 matches the Rfam family "5.8S ribosomal RNA", at positions 35 to 154 of the family's 154-position model. The record is from RNAcentral.
GAUGAAGAACGUAGCGAAACGCGAUAAGUAAUGUGAAUUGCAGAAUUCAGUGAAUCAUCGAAUCUUUGAACGCACAUUGCGCCCGCCAGUAUUCUGGCGGGCAUGCCUGUUCGAGCGUCAUUUCAACCAUCAAGCCCCCGGCUUGUGUUGGGGACCUGCGGCUGCCGCAGGCCCUGAAAAGCAGUGGCGGGCUCGCUGUCACACCGAGCGUAGUAGCAUACAUCUCGCUCUGGGCGUGCUGCGGGUUCCGGCCGUUAAACCACCUUCAUAACCCAAGGUUGACCUCGGAUCAGGUAGGAAGACCCGCUGAACUUAAGCAUAUCAAUAAGCGGAGGA